AGAGUUCAGACCCUGGUGACC
This 21-nucleotide microRNA is filed under the name Caenorhabditis briggsae. The record is from RNAcentral. Lineage: Eukaryota; Metazoa; Nematoda; Chromadorea; Rhabditida; Rhabditidae.